This 306-nucleotide ribosomal RNA is filed under the name Triticum aestivum (bread wheat). RNAcentral's name for it is "partial small subunit ribosomal RNA". Lineage: Eukaryota; Viridiplantae; Streptophyta; Magnoliopsida; Poales; Poaceae. The record is from RNAcentral.
AUGCUCACUCUUCAGCUUGGUAAUACGAAGAGCCUCACAAGAGCAACGGCGGCCCAAGAAACAAUAGAUCAAUCAUUCGUGUGUGCGCACCUAAAGGUUGUCAACAUUGAAUCUGAUGAGGUUCAUGAGGAAAUUCACAAAAUUGUGAAUAUCUUGAGGACUUGUGGCAUACUUCGUGAUCACAUUAGCAUCAAGGCUCGAUCAUCACCCUCAUGCUGUUUCAGUUUCCAGAAGGAUCCGCGGUCGCUGCUCCCUCCUCCUGCCGCACUGCGCCCUGCAGCUUCCACCACCGAUGAUGGCAACUAG